ACGGAGGGUGCAAGCGUUGUUCGGAAUUACUGGGCGUAAAGCGCGUGUAGGCGGUUUUUUAAGUCUGAUGUGAAAGCCCGGGGCUCAACCCCGGAAGUGCAUUGGAAACUGGGAGACUUGAAUACGGGAGAGGGAAGUGGAAUUUCGAGUGUAGGGGUGAAAUCCGUAGAUAUUCGAAGGAACACCAGAGGCGAAGGCGACUUCCUGGACCGAUAUUGACGCUGAGACGCGAAAGCGUGGGGAGCAAACAGG
RNAcentral lists this ribosomal RNA (252 nucleotides) under uncultured bacterium. RNAcentral describes it as "partial 16S ribosomal RNA". It matches the Rfam family "Bacterial small subunit ribosomal RNA", at positions 525 to 776 of the family's 1533-position model. The record is from RNAcentral.